GACGAACGCUGGCGGCAGGCCUAACACAUGCAAGUCGAACGGUAGCACAGAGAGCUUGCUCUCGGGUGACGAGUGGCGGACGGGUGAGUAAUGUCUGGGAAACUGCCUGAUGGAGGGGGAUAACUACUGGAAACGGUAGCUAAUACCGCAUAACGUCGCAAGACCAAAGAGGGGGACCUUCGGGCCUCUUGCCAUCAGAUGUGCCCAGAUGGGAUUAGCUAGUAGGUGGGGUAACGGCUCACCUAGGCGACGAUCCCUAGCUGGUCUGAGAGGAUGACCAGCCACACUGGAACUGAGACACGGUCCAGACUCCUACGGGAGGCAGCAGUGGGGAAUAUUGCACAAUGGGCGCAAGCCUGAUGCAGCCAUGCCGCGUGUAUGAAGAAGGCCUUCGGGUUGUAAAGUACUUUCAGCGGGGAGGAAGGUGUUGUGGUUAAUAACCGCAGCAAUUGACGUUACCCGCAGAAGAAGCACCGGCUAACUCCGUGCCAGCAGCCGCGGUAAUACGGAGGGUGCAAGCGUUAAUCGGAAUUACUGGGCGUAAAGCGCACGCAGGCGGUCUGUCAAGUCGGAUGUGAAAUCCCCGGGCUCAACCUGGGAACUGCAUUCGAAACUGGCAGGCUAGAGUCUUGUAGAGGGGGGUAGAAUUCCAGGUGUAGCGGUGAAAUGCGUAGAGAUCUGGAGGAAUACCGGUGGCGAAGGCGGCCCCCUGGACAAAGACUGACGCUCAGGUGCGAAAGCGUGGGGAGAAACAGGAUUAGAUACCCUGGUAGUCCACGCCGUAAACGAUGUCGACUUGGAGGUUGUGCCCUUGAGGCGUGGCUUCCGGAGCUAACGCGUUAAGUCGACCGCCUGGGGAGUACGGCCGCAAGGUUAAAACUCAAAUGAAUUGACGGGGGCCCGCACAAGCGGUGGAGCAUGUGGUUUAAUUCGAUGCAACGCGAAGAACCUUACCUACUCUUGACAUCCAGAGAACUUACCAGAGAUGGUUUGGUGCCUUCGGGAACUCUGAGACAGGUGCUGCAUGGCUGUCGUCAGCUCGUGUUGUGAAAUGUUGGGUUAAGUCCCGCAACGAGCGCAACCCUUAUCCUUUGUUGCCAGCGGUCCGGCCGGGAACUCAAAGGAGACUGCCAGUGAUAAACUGGAGGAAGGUGGGGAUGACGUCAAGUCAUCAUGGCCCUUACGAGUAGGGCUACACACGUGCUACAAUGGCGCAUACAAAGAGAAGCGACCUCGCGAGAGCAAGCGGACCUCAUAAAGUGCGUCGUAGUCCGGAUUGGAGUCUGCAACUCGACUCCAUGAAGUCGGAAUCGCUAGUAAUCGUAGAUCAGAAUGCUACGGUGAAUACGUUCCCGGGCCUUGUACACACCG
This 1371-nucleotide ribosomal RNA is filed under the name uncultured Pantoea sp. RNAcentral describes it as "bacterial SSU rRNA". It matches the Rfam family "Bacterial small subunit ribosomal RNA", at positions 28 to 1392 of the family's 1533-position model. Lineage: Bacteria; Pseudomonadati; Pseudomonadota; Gammaproteobacteria; Enterobacterales; Erwiniaceae. The record is from RNAcentral.